CCUACGGGGGGCAGCAGUAGGGAAUAUUGCUCAAUGGGGGAAACCCUGAAGCAGCAACGCCGCGUGGAGGAUGAAGGUUUUAGGAUUGUAAACUCCUUUUGUUAGAGAAGAUUAUGACGGUAUCUAACGAAUAAGCACCGGCUAACUCCGUGCCAGCAGCCGCGGUAAUACGGAGGGUGCAAGCGUUACUCGGAAUCACUGGGCGUAAAGAGUGCGUAGGCGGGGUAAUAAGUCAGAUGUGAAAUCCUGUGGCUUAACUACAGAACUGCAUUUGAAACUGUUACUCUGGAGUGUGGGAGAGGUAGGUGGAAUUCUUGGUGUAGGGGUAAAAUCCGUAGAGAUCAAGAGGAAUACUCAUUGCGAAGGCGACCUGCUGGAACAUUACUGACGCUGAUGCACGAAAGCGUGGGAAUCGAACAGGAUUAGAUACCCCAGUAGUC
This 440-nucleotide ribosomal RNA is filed under the name uncultured bacterium. RNAcentral describes it as "partial 16S ribosomal RNA". It matches the Rfam family "Bacterial small subunit ribosomal RNA", at positions 338 to 795 of the family's 1533-position model. The record is from RNAcentral.